Molecule: ribosomal RNA, 253 nt
Filed under: uncultured bacterium
Lineage: Bacteria
Description: partial 16S ribosomal RNA
Rfam family: Archaeal small subunit ribosomal RNA
Source: RNAcentral
UACCAGCACCCCGAGUGGUCGGGACGAUUAUUGGGCCUAAAGCAUCCGUAGCCGGUACUGCAAGUCUUCCGUUAAAUCCACCUGCUCAACAGUUGGGCUGCGGAGGAUACUACAGCGCUAGGAGGCGGGAGAGGCAAGCGGUACUCAGUGGGUAGGGGUAAAAUCCAUUGAUCCAUUGAAGACCACCAGUGGCGAAGGCGGCUUGCCAGAACGCGCUCGACGGUGAGGGAUGAAAGCUGGGGGAGCAAACAGG